UAUCAGCUUUAGUAAUUCUCUGGUGGAACU
This 30-nucleotide non-coding RNA is filed under the name Rattus norvegicus (Norway rat). Lineage: Eukaryota; Metazoa; Chordata; Mammalia; Rodentia; Muridae. The record is from RNAcentral.